GCAAGUCGUGGGGUAUACACUUCGGUGUAGAGACCGGCGCACGGGUGAGUAACACGUGAGUAUCUACCUAUAGAUGGGGGAUAGCCUAUGGAAACAUAGGGUAAUACCGCAUAUGACGAGAGUUGAAAGCUACUUUUGUAGCGUCUGUAGAUGAGCUUGCGGUCCAUUAGCUAGUUGGCGGGGUAAGUGCCCACCAAGGCGAUGAUAGGUAGCCGGCCUGAGAGGGUGAUC
RNAcentral lists this ribosomal RNA (231 nucleotides) under uncultured bacterium. RNAcentral describes it as "partial 16S ribosomal RNA". It matches the Rfam family "Bacterial small subunit ribosomal RNA", at positions 57 to 305 of the family's 1533-position model. The record is from RNAcentral.